Molecule: ribosomal RNA, 253 nt
Filed under: uncultured bacterium
Lineage: Bacteria
Description: partial 16S ribosomal RNA
Rfam family: Bacterial small subunit ribosomal RNA
Source: RNAcentral
UACGGAGGGGGCAAGCGUUGUUCGGAUUUACUGGGCGUAAAGGGCGCGUAGGCGGCGUGACAAGUCACUUGUGAAAUCUCCGGGCUUAACUCGGAACUGCCAAGUGAUACUGUCGUGCUAGAGUGCAGAAGGGGCAAUCGGAAUUCCUGGUGUAGCGGUGGAAUGCGCAGAUAUCAGGAGGAACACCGGUGGCGAAGGCGGGUCUCUGGGCAGUAACUGACGCUGAGGAGCGAAAGCGUGGGGAGCGAACAGG